UGUAUGAGCCACCUCAUUUUAAAGGUAAGUUUUAUAAAGUGGUGAUCAGACCAACUAUAUUAAUUAUCCCAACAAAAAUUAACACUAACCAAAAAGCAUGAGCAUAGCUGCGUAAUACUUGUAUAUAUAGAAGAAAUUUUCAAUCGCCAAAUCGAAUGGUUGUGCCAUUUUAAUCAAUGAAAUCGUCACUCCAUUGGAUUAACACGUGGACUCUCUUUCAGCAGCCAAACAUAGAAGAACCCAUUGUUCACAUUACCAUUUCUCCUUUGGCUAGUUUGUAUGAAGCGGAUUGUUAACCGAUCAAAAAUUCGCCCAUCCAAAAAAUGAGAGUAGCAGGAAUAAGGAUGAUGUCUAGGUUUAGUAAAAGAGAUUGAAUAAAAAAAUGAAGCUAUGUUGGAUAAGGUUGGUGUGGUCUCUAUGGUAGAAUGAGGGUGGUGAGGUUGAGAUGGUUCAGAUAUGUAAGGAGAAGAUGCACAAAUGCCUCAGUAAGGUGUUGUGAAAGGUUAGUUAUAGUACAUGAAGAGAGGUAGAGGUAGAUCAAAAGUUAUUGGUGAAAUUACAAUAAUAGUACAACUGAAAAAAUUAUAAGUGAAGAAAAAUAAAGUUCUUCUUGGCUAAGACGUGGAUAUCUCGCUCUUUAAAGAGAUUUAAUCCAACUGCGGCAUAAUCUACAUCAAUCCAGCAGUAUAUCUCGUGACUUGUCUCCUCCAGGAUACAACAACCCAUCAAUGAUGUACAACUCAAACAACUCCGAAUUAGUUGAAGAAUCCACAGCUCCACCAUAAGAACACCUUCCUUCAACAUAUUAUUACUCUCUAUCAUAGUGAAUAUAGUUGUAGAUUUAGAAUUUUUUUUUGACUCAACUCACUUUCACUACUAUAUUUACUCUUCUCAUCUUUUUCUUUAUAAACAAUAAAGGAAGAAACAUCUCUAUUUAUCGGUUAAGAAUUCUUUCAUGUAAUGAAUAUGAUGAAUGAGGGGUAGUAAUCUGGAUAGAUAAAUAAUCUUGAUGUUACAUAUACUACAUGCAACUAAAGACCAUGGAAUUACAAGAAGUUAAUGGUCAUACGAGUUACAAGAACUAAUGAUCAUCUUUUACCACAAUUUAUAUCCACUAACACCAAAGAAUUAUGUGGUGAGUUACAAGACUUAAUGUGGUAGAUAAUGGAUAAAUAAAGUGUAAGAAGUUACAAGAGUGGUCAAGAUAUAAUGACACUACUUUCUCCACUAUAUGUCCAUAAAUACUAUAACAAAAGACAUUUAUUGUUACAAAAUAUGUUGUAGCAAAAUAUGAAAUUUUCUGUGGCUAAACACUUUAGCUAUAAUAUUUUCUAUCGUAGCAUUCGUAACAAGAUGUAGCGUGGCUAAAAGUUAGCUACAAACUUUUCAUGGUCCGUGACUAAGAAUGUAUACUUGUUGCUACAAAAAAAAAUAUUGUAGUUAAGAUGGUAAAAAGUUUUUGCCACGAAAAAUAUACUUAUGGCAAGUGAUUUUAUUUUUUUGCCACGACAAACAAAAUUUGUAGAUUUUCAUAUUGUAGUCACAAGCUAUUGUAUUGUGGCAAAAGAUUUUAUUUGUUUGCCAUAUUAAUUUAAAUUUUAUGGCUAUUUCUAUAGCUUAGUCUUGUGGCAAUAGCACUCAUAUUUAGUUAAAAAUAAAAAAUUUCAUAGCUAUAAAUUAAAGAAUUUGCCACAAACAUCUUCAUCUAGUAACUAAAAAUUACUAUCUUUAGCCAUGAAGUCGCUACAUCUGCUACGGAAGAUAAAAUUUUAGCUAUGCUCUUAAUAUGUCAAUUAUAGGAGUAUAUUUCUAGCUACGAAUUCAAAAAAUUCAAAGCUAAAAUUUAGCACAAAACUUUGCCACAGACAUUAUUAGCCAAAAUAAUACGAAUAAUGUAGCCAGGAAUUCAUUUUUGGCAUGAAACAGUAGUAUAUCUUAAAAAUUUCAAUAAAUGCAAUAUAUUAAAAUAAAUAAAUAAAUGUUCAACAAUAACAUUCAAAGUUGCAAAACAUCAUUUUACUCGAACAUAUUGAUAUACUUCUGCAAGAGAAAAAAAUAUAUUCACGUCUCCAUUGAUUUUGAUUUCAUCACUCCUCCAUAAACUGCAAUAACAAUUAAAAAGAUUAGAAAAUGAUAUAUUAAAAUAUUCAUUUUAAAAACUAAAAUUUAUUUAUUAAUAUAAAUAUUUUCUUAUAGAAAAAAUAUAUUUACUAACGGCUCUCUCUAACGGCUCUCUCUCUUCCUCCCUCCCUACCCUCUCUCUCGCUCGCACCGGUCACCGGCCCCCGUCACCGACCCGACCCGACCUCCGGUCCCCGGCGCCGCCCUAACGGCUCUCUCUCUCUCUCUCUCCCUACCCUCUCUCCAUCUCUCUCGCACCGGUCCCCGGUCCCCGGCGCCGUCGCUAACCUUCGGCACCGACCCGACCCAACCGCCGGCUUCGACCUCCGGUCCCCGGUGCUGACUCAACCCGACCGCCGCCACCAGCCCCCUCCCCCCCCUCGGCCUCCAGCCAGCCGCCGCUCGGUCUCCAGCCACCAACUCGGUCUCCAACAGCCGAAGCUCGGUCUUCAGCCGCAACUCCGUCUGCACCCGCCGCGCCGUCUCCAGCAGCCGCAGCUCCAAACGAAAUCCGGUGACUUCUAACCUUUGUUAUUUCAUAUUGCAUUUUAUUUCAUUAUUUCAUAUUCCAUUCUUAGUAUUAUGCUAGUAGUAGCCCCGGUACCUUAACUUGUGUGGGAUUUGUGGACAUUGUCUGUUGUCUGUUGUUGCUGUUGCUGUGGUCGUUUCUUAGCUUUGUUUCGGGAGUAUUCCUUUGAAUUUGUGUGAGCCUUGUAUUUCCUUGCUGCUGCUUUGAUACUACCACCGUGUAUACCUUUAUAUUUUCCUAUACUUUCGUGUAGUUGUGGCUGUGGGCGGUAAUGGGUGGAUAGGGUCAUGUCCGAGGGGGUUGGGGCGUGGGGCCAUGAUGGGGGCGGAGGAUGUGGAAAGGGCGGGAGUGGGAGGGAGGCCAAGGUUUGACCGCGGGGGGGAGNNNNNNNNNNNNNNNNNNNNNNNNNNNNNNNNNNNNNNNNNNNNNNNNNNNNNNNNNNNNNNNNNNNNNNNNNNNNNNNNNNNNNNNNNNNNNNNNNNNNNNNNNNNNNNNNNNNNNNNNNNNNNNNNNNNNNNNNNNNNNNNNNNNNNNNNNNNNNNNNNNNNNNNNNNNNNNNNAGUGGGGGGCGCGUGGAUAGCGACGGUAGGCUGAGGGUUGGGUCUUGGAAUAUAGGGACCCUUCAGGGGAAGUCCAUAGAGCUGGUGAAGAUUCUUAGGAAGAGAAGGAUCAACCUUGCGUGUGUCCAAGAGACCAAGUGGGUAGGGUCUAAGGCUAGGGAUGUGGACGGUUACAAGCUGUGGUACUCUGGGAGCGACAGGCGUAGGAAUGGAGUUGGCAUCUUGGUAGAUGAAGAGCUUAGAGGUCAGGUAGUGGAGGUGAAGAGGAUCAACGAUAGGUUGAUGACUAUCAAGUUGGUCAUUCGGGGGUUUACCCUGAACGUGUGUAGUGCCUAUGCGCCGCAUGUGGGAUCGGAGGGGGAGGAGAAGAUGCGGUUCUGGGAGGCCUUGGAGGACGUGGUGAGAGGCGUGCCCAGUUCGGAGAAGAUUGUGGUAGCAGGGGAUUUCAACGGGCACAUCGGGGCGCUACCGGGAGGCUUUGGGGAUGUGCAUGGAGGUUUUGGUUUUGGGGAGAGAAAUGAAGAGGGGGCGACCCUAUUGGAGUUUGCGAGGGCGUUUGGGCUGGUGGUGGUGAACUCGGGCUUCCCGAAGAAGGACGACCACCUGAUCACUUUUCGGAGCGCGGUAGCCAGGACCCAGAUUGACUUCUUGUUGCUUAGGAAAGGGGAUAGGGCGCUGUGUAAAGAUUGUAAAGUCAUCCCGAGUGAGAACCUUUCGACCCAACAUAGGCUCUUGGUUAUGGAUUUGGGUAUGAAGAAGAAUAAAAAGAGGAGGAGUAAGGAGUGUAGACCGAGAAUUAAGUGGGGCGGUUUGACGCCAGUGAAUGCGUGGGAGAUAGGGGAGAGGUUGGCGGGAAUGGGGGUGUGGGAGUGUAGGGGGGACGUGGAUAAUAUGUGGGACAGGGCGGCAGCGUGCAUCAGGGAAAAUGCAAGGGAGGUGUUGGGUGUUUCUAGGGGCCGGGCCGGACAUCAUCGGGGGGAUUGGUGGUGGAAUGAAGAGGUGGGGAAGAAAGUGGAGACCAAGAAAGAGUCGUAUGCUAAGUUGGUGGAAAGUAAGGACGAAGAGGAGAAGCGGGUAAACAGGAAAGAGUACAAGCUAGCAAGGAAGGAGGCGAAGUCAGCGGUCACGGCAGCUAAGACGGCUGCUUUUGAGAGCUUGUAUGCAGGGUUACAGGGGAAAGGAGGGGAGAAAAAGUUGUUCCGACUCGCUAAGGCUAGGGAGAGGAAGGGUCGUGACCUCGAUCAGGUGCGGUGCAUUAAGGGGGAGGACGGUAGAGUGUUGGUGGAGGACGGCCACAUAAAGAAGAGAUGGCAGUCGUACUUUCAUAGGCUCUUGAAUGACGAGGGGGACAGAGCUAUUGUGUUAGGGGAACUGGAGCACUCAGGGGAGUGUCGGGAUUUUAGCUAUUGUAGACGUUUUAAGGUAGACGAGGUUAGACAGGCAGUCCGCAGGAUGCGAAGGGGUAGGGCGACGGGGCCGGAUGAGAUACCGGUGGAGUUUUGGAAGUUCGUUGGAGAGGCUGGUGUAAGGUGGUUGACUGCAUUGUUCAAUGAAAUUUUCAGGACAGCAAAGAUGCCCGAGGCGUGGAGGUGGAGUACCAUGAUCCCCCUCUAUAAGAAUAAGGGGGACAUUCAGUGUUGCAAUAACUAUAGGGGGAUUAAGUUACUGAGUCACUCUAUGAAGAUCUGGGAGAGAGUGGUCGAGGUGAGGCUGAGACGGAUAGUGUCUAUCUCGGAAAAUCAGUUCGGAUUUAUGCCCGGCCGCUCGACGACGGAGGCAAUUCACCUGGUACGGCGGUUGGUGGAGCAAUAUAGGGAAAGGAAGAAGGAUUUGCACAUGGUGUUCAUCGACCUAGAAAAGGCGUACGACAAAGUCCCCAGGGAGGUGCUUUGGAGAUGCUUGGAGGUGAGUGGAGUACCGCAGGCAUAUAGCAGAGUAAUUAAGGAUAUGUAUGAGGGAGCGAAAACCCAGGUGAGGACGGCGGGAGGAGACUCAGAGCAUUUCACUGUCCUGACAGGAUUGCAUCAGGGAUCUACUCUUAGUCCCUUUUUGUUUGCGCUAGUAAUGGAUGUGUUAACGCGGCGUAUCCAAGGGGAGGUGCCGUGGUGUAUGCUUUUUGCAGACGAUGUAGUCCUGAUAGAUGAGACGCGAGGGGGUGUGAACGACAAAUUAGAGCUGUGGAGGCAAACUCUGGAGUCUAAAGGGUUCAGGGUGAGCAGAACCAAGACAGAGUAUGUGGAAUGUAAGUUUAAUGACGUAAGGCGAGAGAAUGAGGUAGUGGUGAGGCUAGAAGCGCAGGAGGUAAAGAAAAGGGAUAAGUUCAAGUACCUCGGGUCCGUGAUCCAGAGUAACGGUGAGAUUGACGAGGAUGUCUCGCACCGUAUCGGGGCGGGAUGGAUGAAGUGGAAACUUGCAUCGGGGGUGCUGUGUGAUAAGAAGGUGCCGCCCAAGCUUAAAGGCAAAUUCUAUAGGGUGGUAGUCCGUCCGGCCUUGCUGUAUGGAGCGGAGUGUUGGCCAGUUAAGAACUCCCACAUCCAAAGAAUGAAGGUGGCAGAAAUGCGGAUGUUGCGCUGGAUGUGUGGACUGACUCGAGGGGAUAGAGUUCGGAAUGAGACUAUCCGGGAGAAGGUUGGUGUGACUUCAGUGGAGUGUAAGAUGCGGGAAGCACGAUUGAGAUGGUUCGGACACGUGAAGAGGAGGGGCAUGGAUGCCCCGGUCCGUAGGUGUGAGAGGCUAGCGUUGGAUGGUUUUAGGCGGGGUAGGGGUAGGCCGAAGAAGUACUGGGGUGAGGUGAUUAGGCGGGACAUGGAACAGUUACAGCUCACCGAGGACAUGACCCUAGAUAGGAAGGUCUGGAAGACGCGAAUUACGGCAGAGGAUUAGGGCCAGUUUGGGUCGCUAGUGUAGGGAUUACUUGGUGGGGGUUUUAUUCCUGCUAUGAUUCCGUAUCCCGUGUUCCAUGUUUAUUACGAAUCUGUGUGCUUUCCUCUGCUUUCCUCUGUUUUAUAUUCCUUAUGGGUGCCGUAUUUAUGUUAUGUAAUCUGCUUCUGUGCUUUACUAUGUGUUUGUGUGGUGUCUCGUGCCUUGAGCCGGGGGUCUUUCGAAAACAGCCUUUCUACUUCAUCAGAGGUAGAGGUAUAGACUGCGUACAUCUUACCCCCCAGACCCCCCUAGGUGGGAAUACACUGGGUUUGUUGUUGUUGUAGUAAUAUAAAAAAAAUAUAAAUAAGCUACUACCUAUUAAUUUUCAUCAUUUGAUUGUCCACCUUGAGCUACAACCAUCACUUGAAUUUUUUCUUCAAUCAUUUAAUCAACUCUGCCUUUUAAUUGAUUAAACUAAUUUUGCAAUGAAAACAAUCAAACAUAUAUGCAAACUAGUAAGGAUAACCCGGACGUUGCCCGAAUACAACAAGAACAAAAUUAUAUUAUUUAUUAUACAUUGUAGAUAAGUCCAUAAAGAUUCUUAAAAUAUAUUCUGCUCAUAAAUGAAGUUGAAAAACUCGUUUGUUCUUUGAACUUCAAAGACGAACUUAUGAGAAAGCAGGAAAACAAACAACCCCAAAAGAACCUUUUUUGUUACUAAGUUGUGUGGACUUUUUACUUUCGAUGCCGCACCCGUGUAGGAUUCUCCACACUACAUUACUUUUUUAGAAUCCGACACACACUCAUUGACGUGUUUGAAGAGUCUGAGUAACAUAGGUUUGUUUUAUUCCUAUUGAGAGUUAUCCAUAUCAAACACACCUUUCACAUUUAGGGGGAGCAGGUUAAUAGGUUUCCAUUACAGUUAUCAAGUCGAGGAUCCCUAAAACAUGGACAAUAGUAUUAACACAAUGAAAACAAAUAAUAGUACACAGUUAGACCAAAUAGCAGGUUGAAUCAUUAAUCGUAGGAAUUUAAUUUAAUUACUUACAACAGUGUCAUAGAUUUUCAUUUUGCUUCUCCAAUUCUGUCGAUCUGUAUUUAUAAAAUCAAACCAAGAAGCAAUCAAUUACUAAGAAUCAAAUACUAAGGAAGCAGUGUUAUCAAAUAACCAUCAAAACCUUACUGUUGAGUUCUGAUACAACCUCCAGUUUACUUCAGCACCAACUUCUAUUUUUCACGAAUUAAACUAUUCUCUUUAGUUGAUCUUGGACAAUCCUACAAGCAUGACUUUAUCUUUAUGGUAACAUGCUUCUACUUAUUUGGUAUGGAUAUUUGUGUUCUGCAUAGAUAGUACACAUUAAUAAUUAUUCCCAGAAUGUGUUAAAAAGGAAUAAUAAGUACUAGACAUAACAUUCCUUCAUAGAUAUCUAAUGAAACGAUAAAAAGCAAGAAUAUUAGCAUUUAGUCUCGAGUUCGAGUCUCAAGAACAAAAAAAAUUUCUAAUAAGGAGUGUUUUUCUCUUAAAUGAUCAUAUCUAAAAUGUAAAUCUGAAUUAAUUGGGUUAGUGUGUCGCCAAUUGAAAGACUGUUGAACAAAAAAUAUAUUAAACAAUAAUCAGUGCAAAUAUAAGCGAAGCAACUGUUUAUAACCUUGAGUUGACAGAGGUAUGAAAGACAAUUUUUGUGGCACAUAAGUUGUGCAAUCUGGAGAAUUUGAAGAAUCCUUUGUUGUUGACCUGCACGCUACUAAAUCAAACAACAACAACAAUAUACCCAAUGUACUCUCUGAGAAAUUUCAUCAAAUAACUAUAGCGCACAAUCUGUGUACACCUCUACACAACUUUCUUCCACAAAUCAUCUCCUAAUCACUACUCUAUUACAACACCACAUUAAAUGCACAAUAUAUAAACAUAAUUUAAUUCAUUUGUAAAAUUCAAAUUCAAAACACACUCCAGAAAGAGAAAUAAUUUGAAUUCAAUAAAAAUACUAACCCGAUAUUAUUUCAAUGCAUAAUAAAAGAAAAGAAGAAAAAAGAAGAGAGAGUUAAGUAAUAAGACAUUACAUGUUAUAUGCUAUUCCUGAAGUGGAGGGUAUUUAACGAGAUGGUAAAAAUGGGGAAUGUUAGGGUGAACUUGAAUGAUCUAAUUCUGAGAGGGAGGUAGAUAGUCGGGUUCUUUUUGGGAGAUUUUGAGAGGGAAAUUUGGGCGGGAAGUUUUUGACAAUUAUUUUAAUUCCAAAAUUUUGUCCCAAACUCAUUCUUAAUAUGUUUAGAGUAUUAUACUACUCCCUCCAUUUCAUAAUAAAUAAAUUGUUAAAUUUUGACGCACAAAUUAAAAAAAAGAAUUAAAGACAUAAAUUUAAAAUAGUUUUCCAUUUUUACCUUGUUCAAAGUACAAAAUUAUAUUUAUUUUAUUUUUUUAUCAGUUAAUGGGCCCCUUGGUUGUCAAAUCUUCAAGGGUAAAUUUGAAAUUUUUUUUCAGUAAUUCACUUAUUUUGAAGUACAAAAAAUACUCCAAUAAUUCAUUUAUUAUGAAACGGAGGGAGUAUAUGAGUAAUAGUUAUGCAUUCAAUAAUUUUUAAAAAAAGUUAAAUAAUAUAAAGAGUGUUGCAUAAUUUAAAGAUAUUUAAAUUUUUAACAUUAUGUAUAAAUAUUGAUAAUUAGCAAAUAAUAAUAAAACAUGUAGCGUUUUUUAAUAUUUGUAUCAAAUGUUGUUAUUUUUAUAAUAUUUUUCAUUAAAUGUCUGUUUUUGUGGUAUUUUUUCAUGAAUGUCGGGAAAUAAUAUUUCUCAAUAUUUAUUUCAAAAGUGACUAAAUAAAAGUCAUCGUAUUUUAAUUUUUUUGCACCAUCAGGUCCAUGUCAAUCGCUAGUUUUCAUUAUAUAAUUAAGAAAUUCAAUUGGUGGUCAUUUUAAAAUACAAGAGAUGAUAUCUUUAGAUUCGAAGUGUCAAUUUCAACAUACAUUAAACUUUUUUUUAAUUCAAAAUGAUGAACUUAUUAUUUUGAUGUGUUCUUUUCCAAUGAAUUGUGUAGAUAUAACACCCCGCAUUUUCGAGCUAGAAAGCGAACCGUUGUUCUUACGUGCAUAAGCUCUAAUUCCAUGAUUUUUAUUUAAAUUCAUGUGUCAUGAUCCUUCUCCUAGUAUAUGAAAUGGUUAUGAGGUGAAAAAUAUUCAUAGAAAUGGCCUAAAGCAAAGUUGAGCUAAGAACCCUUCACCCAUCCAAAAUUUGAUAUUUCAUUCUACAAGGGUCAUCUUUGAACGAUUAUAACUUUUGGUAUAUAUAAAAUUUGGUAGAUUAAGACACACCAAAUUAUAGAUAAUCGAAUUAGCUCUCCAACGAUACUAAUUUUGCCUUAAUCCAACACCUGAGCAAAAAGUUAUGCCAUUUUUCGUGUGAGGCAGUAAGGGGUCGCGAUAGCCCUGCGAUGCGAGGUCUGCUUGACCCAAAUAGGGGUCGCGAUAGCCCUGCGAUGCGAGGUCUGCUUGACCCAAAUAGGGUUCGCGUCGCGAGGGCUACUUAACCUAACUAGGGGUCGCAACGCGGGAGCUAUUCCCGCACAGUUUUAGCUUCUUAAGGGUCAAGGGUCACUUUGGUCCUUCCCCCUCGACCCCAAACGUCCAUAACCCGAAAUUUCAGCCCCCAAAAUAGCACUUUAGCCCCAAAUUCAUAUUCUCCCCAAAUUGAAAUCAUCCUCACUUUCCCAAGAAUACAAAAACCCUAACUCCUAAGCUAAGAUCUCAAGAAACAGAUCAAAAUUCAGGUUCCAAGUAUCAAGAUUCGGAUUCCAUCUUUCAAAUCUCGUAAUUUAAGGUAUGUAGGGUUUUCCUAAAUCUACAUGUGCAUAAGAAAAUCGUUUCAACAACAUUUAAACAUUGUGAAAUCAUGAAUUCUUGAAGGGGUUUUGAAAUUUAGAUUACAAUUGUGCAUUAUGAACUCUUAAAUGAUAUUAUUCUUUGGUCUUGAGGCCUUCCCUUAGAAAAUUGAACUCUCUCUCUCUCUCUCUCUCUCUCUCUCUCUCUAUAUAUAUAAAUGUAUGCAUUUGAUGAAUUUAAAUAUUGAAUUGAGAGCAUCAAUUAUUGGAAAUCCCUCUCUCGUUUAAAGGUUUCUUGUUUUCGUAAGCCAUGAUUAUUUGAAUGUAUUUUGAGAAGCAUGAUUACAAAUGCAUUGAUUAUUGUUUAUGACUUGAUUAUGGUUUUGAUUUGAAGAGAGGGGUUUUUACAUGUUGAUAAAUGCCGAAGUAUAUAAUGAAAGAAUUGCAUGGUUUUGUCAAAAAUACAUGACCAACACAGGUUUGUUGGAAUUGUUGAAAAGAUGAAAAUCUUUGCAUGAUUUUGACUUAUGUUUUAAAGUAUGAAUUCUCUUAUACUUGUCUGAAUGUUUUGGUGGUCUGAACAUUAUUGUAAAUGAACGAAUCUUGCAUGAUACCUUAUGGCUCAGAAUUUUGACUUGUAAGUCUUGGUAUGAUGAUAUCAAUUCAGGUAAUGCCAUAGUAACACAGAACAAAACAUAGUGUGGAUUUUCUUUCAGAUUUUCAGAUUUUGAACUAAGAAUGAUACAAGUUCAGAAAUGGCUAAAAAUGAGCAUAAAGAGAUGUUAGGUGGUUAGCCGAAGAAGGCACGAUUUUAGAAAACUCAUUACCCAAAAUUGUGUUUUGCCGAUACGAGAUUAUUAUGUCCCUUAGAGGGAUUAUACGUUGGCCUAGUGCUCUGUGGUAUAUUAGAAUUAGAAACUCUACCUCUUGUGGCAAACUUGGGAUGGGGCUUGGCCACCAAGUUAAGGGCGGACUCCAUAUAGCCCGUGGGAUUAUACAAUUGUAGGAUGUACCAUCUAACUCAGAAGUAAUAUAAAGAUUAGAACUGCAUUGUCAAAAAAAAUUGUUUUAUGAUCACUGAAACUGCCCAUGCAUUUUUAAAUAUUUUAUGCAUGAUAUUUCAGACUUGCUCUCAUCUAUGUUAUAUAUAUGUAAACACAUUAUUUUGGAUUACUCUGUAUACCAGUACAUCUAUAUUGACUCCCUAUAUUUCAGGGUCUGAUGCUCAAUCUAGAGGUCCUACUAAGUCGUAGAAUUUUCAAACAGAAGAGAAGUGAGCUGUUGGUAAGCCUUCUUUAUUUUGGAGGUCCUAUUUUGUUUCAGUCAUUUGAUAAUUAGUAUGGUUUUGGUCAACUGGGGGCCUUGUCCCAGAUUCAGAUAGUUUAUUGAUGUCAUAUGUAGUAAAGAUUUCGCAGACUGAAAAAGAUGUUGUCUAAAUAUUUAUGAACUUAUUUUCGUAUUGUUAAACAGAUUUCAGAAUAUGAUCAUGAUUUUGUUUAUUUUACUUCUGCAUCUUUUCUUUAUUAUUCGAGUUUUGUGUAUGAUGACCAGUGGUAGAAGAGUGUCCGGAUCACUAUGGUUCGAGAUGCUCGUGUAAUACCCCACAUGUUUCUAAGCUAGGAGACGAACCAUUUUUCCUACAUAUGAAAUCUCCUAUCCUGUGAUUCAUACUUGAGUACAUGACUUACAAUGAGUAUCCUAGCGAUAAGAUAGCUUAUGAUGCGUUAAGCAUGUUCAUAUGAGUCACUUAACCUUGUACAAGCUAAGAGUUUUUGAAUCCAUCAAGUUUUAGUGUUCGAUUUCAUAAGGGUCAUAUUUGAACGAGUAUAACUCGAUAUUAAUGUGGUAUUUCGACAUAUUUCUAUCCACCAAAUUAUAGAGAAUCAAAUAGCUUUCCAAUGAUACCAAUUUCAUCAAAAUCCGACACCCGAGCUAGGAGUUAUGGCUUUGCGAAGUAGAGUGCGUCGCCUAACCAAUCGCACAUGGCCACUGGAAAGCAUAUACGAUAGCAUAUGCGGUGCCUAUGUAAAUAUAGGUGAUAUCAUUUGCAGCGCCUAUGUAGAUAUAGGCGAUAUCAUAUGUGGAACCUAUGUAAAUUUAGGCGAUAUCAUAUGCGGCGCCUAUGUAAAUAUAUGCGAUAUCAUAUGCGGUGCAUAUCUUAUGGUUUCAAGUGACUUAAACACUCCGUUUUGAGUUAUUUUGAGGGUAAUUAAGUCUUUUAACACUCCUUACACAUCCCUAAACUUAACCCUACGAAAUAUAUAGCUCAUAAUUACAUUACAACCCUACUAACAUNNNNNNNNNNNNNNNNNNNNNNNNNNNNNNNNNNNNNNNNNNNNNNNNNNNNNNNNNNNNNNNNNNNNNNNNNNNNNNNNNNNNNNNNNNNNNNNNNNNNNNNNNNNNNNNNNNNNNNNNNNNNNNNNNNNNNNNNNNNNNNNNNNNNNNNNNNNNNNNNNNNNNNNNNNNNNNNNNNNNNNNNNNNNNNNNNNNNNNNNNNNNNNNNNNNNNNNNNNNNNNNNNNNNNNNNNNNNNNNNNNNNNNNNNNNNNNNNNNNNNNNNNNNNNNNNNNNNNNNNNNNNNNNNNNNNNNNNNNNNNNNNNNNNNNNNNNNNNNNNNNNNNNNNNNNNNNNNNNNNNNNNNNNNNNNNNNNNNNNNNNNNNNNNNNNNNNNNNNNNNNNNNNNNNNNNNNNNNNNNNNNNNNNNNNNNNNNNNNNNNNNNNNNNNNNNNNNNNNNNNNNNNNNNNNNNNNNNNNNNNNNNNNNNNNNNNNNNNNNNNNNNNNNNNNNNNNNNNNNNNNNNNNNNNNNNNNNNNNNNNNNNNNNNNNNNNNNNNNNNNNNNNNNNNNNNNNNNNNNNNNNNNNNNNNNNNNNNNNNNNNNNNNNNNNNNNNNNNNNNNNNNNNNNNNNNNNNNNNNNNNNNNNNNNNNNNNNNNNNNNNNNNNNNNNNNNNNNNNNNNNNNNNNNNNNNNNNNNNNNNNNNNNNNNNNNNNNNNNNNNNNNNNNNNNNNNNNNNNNNNNNNAGUCAAACCUCAGAUCUCAAGUAGCUUUUUCGUCAGUCAACGAAACUCAGUGAAUUCAGCUUAGUUCUGCUAAGAAAAUAUUAUCAGCUUAGUUAAUCAGUUUAUAAAUCAGUUCAGUUAGUCAGUUCAGCGCAGUUAAUCUUUUUAGAGUCUUUCAGUUGGGAGUUGGGACUAGCACCGAGCGAGUGCAGGGAUGGCAGUUUUUCCCGUUAUAAAGGCAGAGCCGUUAGCAGUAAUCCCUGUACUCCAGAACUGCGUAGCCAGCACAGGACAGGAUUCACCCAUCAAAUUAAGGCUAUACUUGACUAUUGUAUUGCCUUAGGCUUGAUUUCCUGUUCAGGGUCACCCGUCAGAGAGGCUUGACCAUAGUAGAGGUCUCUACCCGCGGCAUGAUAUUGACUCCCUUCCAUUCAGGGCAAAGAUUGAAACCCACCAAUAUAGUAUCAGGGCAUAUCAGUUAGGUUACUACCUCCCACAGUCACAGUUAUAAUUACAAUUUCAGCAUCAGUCUUCAGAGUAGAAAUCAAGAAUCAGGAUAGUCAGAUAUAGUCAUCAAUCUCAGUAAGGAACUCAGAUAGUUCCAUUGAUUCCCAGACCAUCCCGUCAGAUAGGCUUGGUCCCAUAUUAAGAUGCUUAUUAUUAGAUCUAGAGGUCACCCAACAGACAGGCUUGAUCUCAAUCUUAGAUUCAGUUGAGUAUUCUCAUUAUCAGUUUUAGAGAUCACUCGUUAGCUAGGACUGAUCUCAGACUUUCAGAGACAGAUUGGAACUCAGAUAGUUUUCCCCAGAAUUAGGACUGUUAGAUACAGUCAUCCAUGUUAUCAGUCAUUCAGUAUCUCAGUAUCACGAAACUCAUAUUGUCAGAGUUCAAACUCAAGUACUCAGUAUCUCCACGAGUUCAGUAGCAGUUACGUAUGUAUGUAUAUAUGUAUGUAUGUAUGUAUUCUCACAUUCAUAUUAGUGAGCAUGUUCAUGCAUAUAAGCCCCAUGCAUUUAGCCUACCCUCAUGUAUACUCAGUACUUUAGUUGUACUGAUGCAUUUGCGCUAUGGUGCUUUCUUUAUGUUACACCAUAGAUUCUGAGGUGCAAAUUUCAGAUCAGCGGUGGCAGUUCAGUAAGCAGUGAGUCCUCAUCUUUUGAGGACAUGAUCGUUACAUUUAUUAUUCCAAUAUUUCAGUUUAUUUUCAAUUUAAGGAGUUAGUUGGAGACAUGUUCCUUCAACUCCUUAUUUAGACAGUUUAGAGGCUUUCAAACGAUUAUAGAGUUUUCAGAUUUAGACUUUAGUAUUUUUAGUUUUGUUUUGGUACUGUAAUACCACCUUAUUUCAGAUAUUUUAUUAUUCAAGAUUAAACCUUACGCCCUCUUUGUUCAUGUUUCCAUAUUUUAUAUGUAUAUUAUACAGUUACAGGUACAGAUAUAAGUCAUGGGUUGGCUUGUGGUCCUUCGGGGUCAUAAGCAUCGUGUAGCAUUCUGGUUCAAAAAAUUAGGGCGUUACAACUUGUUACGACUAGGGCCCCGAUUUGGGUUAUGAUAAACUUGGUAUCAAAGCACGGUUCAUGGUUCUAGGGUGUCUGCGAAAUUGCGUCGGGUAGAGUCUUGUUUAUGGGUGUGUAGCAUGCCACACUUAUAAGUAGGAGGCUACAAGGCAUUUAAGAAUAUUAUUUUUUCUUCAUGUUCUAGUUCGUGCUAGGGAGUCAAAAUAUUCCUUUUUCAUACUCUAGUUUGUGCUAUGGUGUCGUCCAUACUAAAGUAAAGUUAUCCCAAUUUUUUUCUUACUCUAUUGUCCUUAGAUAUGUCUUAUUUUUUAGGUGAUUAAGUACAAAAGCUUAGAAUCCAAAUGAUGUGGUCCUUUUCUGAUUGAGUUAUUAAAGAUAAAUUUGCAUAAGGACUUGAGAAGAGACCGUUAGUGCUUCAAGGUGUAUUGAUUUUAGUGUAAACUUUGAUUCUGAUAAAAUCAUGCUUUUCAGCUUGAGGUAUUAAGUGUAUUCAGUCCUUUUCAAAAUUUAUGUUGCAGAUGUCAUGCAUAAGGGGAGGGAUGUAUAAUGGAAUGUUGAAAUUAUAUUUCGAUUUGAGUAGUAGUAUAAGUUAAAAGUGUCAUGACCUACUGGUAGUGAGAUAUGACCAAGAAGCUGGUGAUAUAAAGUCACAAGGUUAGAAGUCAGAGUGAGGGUGACUUUUAUGCAUAUAAAUAUUUUAGUUGUAUAAUCAUUGAUUGAGGGAUGAUUUUCCAUUUUAUAGUGAUAGACUAAUGUGGUAGUAAUAUAUGUAGAUUGUAAGGUAUUCGAUAAAGGAAGUGUUUGGCUGUGAUUAUUAUUUAUUCAAGAAUAGGGAAGGAUCCUAGAGUCGAUAGUUAUGGUGGUUAUAGAAAUCCCUUGUAGGUUGUGAAAGGAAAUGUUUAGAUUUUCCAAUAAGUUAUAAGUAUAGACUCAUUGUUGUUUGUGGAAUUUGAAGGUAGUCUACAUGCAUGCUUGGGUAAGUAAGUAUGAUAUGAGAAAAAGAAAUAUGUAGAUAAGAUUCUAUAAGGUUAUAAUAUAAUAUUAAGGUUGACCAUGCCUAUUAUGUGACCUUACCCUCCUUGACUUUCUUUUUUUAGUAGUUGUAAACUAGUACUUCUAUUGAGAAGGUAUGUAGUAGAUUUUGAGGUGUAGUAGUAAUGUCAUGGAAGUGAUUUGGUUACAGGUAGUAUCUAGGGAAAUGGGGUAUAUGGGUAGAAUUUUCAAAUUUGAUGGACUAGCAUAUUGUGUUUCACUCUUCAUUGGUGGUAAAUGAUUGAUGCCAGACUAUAGGCUUGAAUUUUAGAUGUAAAAUAAGGUGGUAAGAAUAGUAGCUUAAGAUUAAUGGUGUAUGUUGUGUGGGAAUAAAUUCGUAGGCUUGAUAUGAUGUGUGAAAUGGACUAGGUUGAUAAUUUGUGAAAAGUUUAAGUGGUAAUUGAGGGGUAUAUGUGUAUAUGAAGACUAGCGUUAAAAUAAUGAAUUGUGGGUGAGUCAUUAAGUGGAUAAUGGCGUAAGUAUAUAAGAAUAAGUUGCACCCCCUGGUAGUAUGGUGUUACUCGUUAGGUAAGAUUUUAUGCUAUGGGAUAUGUGGUUACCGGUCUAAUGCUAGAAGGUUAAGUAGUAGAGAGUGGAUUUUUAUGUGAUACAAAGUGAAGUUGUGUAUGAUCAUGAGACUGCGUGUUGUAGGUUGAUAACGAUAGAGGAUAGCAAAAAAUUAAGAGUAGUGUUCUGGAGAAGCAAUACCUUUAGAGCAUACUUAAAAAGAAAAAGUUUAGCAUUCAUGUGGAUAAGUGUUUUACGUACCUAGUUUGUGUUCUUAAAAUUAUCGUAUGGAGAAGUCUGGUGAGUUGUUGGUCGGUGUUUGUUAGAGUUGAAUUGAGGAAAUACUGGUAGGCAAUAUGAACCUUGGGUAUGAUUUACAAAUUUUGUUAAGUUGUAAGUUAUGUGAUUAGAGGCGUAAUACGAGUAUUCUAAGGAGUUGAGGCUAGAGUGUUAAGUUUUUAGAAGCGUGGGUGUCCAUGCCCAUAAUAGUGUUAGCCACAAGUUGGUGACUUUGGGUGUUAGAGGAAGUUUUGAUUAGUGUUCCUGACAGUUGUCCUAGAAAGAAUUUAGUGUCAUUGUAUUAGAAAUAAAUAAGAGAAGUUGUAUUCAUAUGUAUAUUGGUAUCCCUUUUGUGAUAAGAAGUGUGAAUGCGUACGCUCAUGGGAGUGAGAGUUGUAUAGUGAGGGCUAUAGAGGUUAGCAAAAGUUAAGAGAUGCAUUUUUUUCGAAAGGCAAGGCCUUCAGAGUAUAGUUCUCCAGGGAUAUUUUAGAGUUUAAGUAUCUGGUGAUGUCUCUUUUAUGUUGAGAGUUGUGGCUAUAGAAUUGGUAAGGGGAUAUGUUCGUAAGUCUAAGAUUGUGAGUUUAAUCUAAGGGGGAGAUGGAGAAGCAAGUUAGUUCUCGAAUUUUUCUCAAUGUGGCAAGUUGCGGGAAGGAGUCAUGAUGAACCUAAUUCUACACAAGCAUAAUCCUCCUACUUCAAUUAGGAGAGUAUCCUGCUAAUGUAAUAUGCCAUAUAUUCAUGUCUUGCCUAUGCCUAAAGUUUGAACUCUCUGUGUAACAUAUGUCAUGUUCCGACCUCCAAACACAAAGCAAUAAUAUCCCUCAGUGAUCUAAUAUUUCGAGUAUCCAAGCCAUAUGUUGUGUUGUUCGUGAUCCAUGAAAAUCUAUGUCUCUCAGCAUGUUUGGCCCUAAGAAAAUAUAUUUCAAUAUGUUGCGGAAUCAUCUUAUGCCGGAAUUAGCCAAAGUGAUAAUAUUUAUGCUAACUCAUGGAAAAUUUUUAGCUCUUUGAAUGAGAAGCAAUCACUUUAAGUGAAAUCCUUGUCUUAGUUGUGAAUGACAUAAAUUUCGGUGUUAUGCCAUAGAGCUCAUGAUAUAUGUAUCCAUAUUUCUCAUUUUGGUCGGUCUUAAGGAAAUCAUGUUGUGUUGUUUUUAGGCCAAAUAACUCUUUACUUAUGAUCUGAAUGGUUGAUAUCUGAAGCACUCUGUGUCUAUUCUAUCGUAUCUUCACUUCAUGUCCCUCCUCAAGUAGUGCAAUAAGUAUGAGUGAUGAUCUGAUAAUGUAACUUCCAUUCAUGGUGUUUAUGCUCGGAUCCCUUAAUGACCCUCUGUAUCUUAGUAUGAUGGUGGUUGUGGAAGUGUAGUAGUGUGUUAGGUAUAGGAGUAGAUGUUCUUGAAGGUGAAAAAUUUGAUGUGAUUCUCGAGCUGAGGUUAUGGGUGAAAGAGAAAAGAAAGAGAUACACUUUUGUUGUGCGAAAUGGCUAAGAAGGAGAAAUAUGGUGACAAUCUUUGUGAAAGUGAUCGAAUUUGCUGAUCUUAGUGCGGGAAAUCCAUGUAGUGGGUGUAGUAAUGAUUAGGCUUGAAUGUUUUGGUUGCUAAAAAUGUAAAUCUAUGUGCUAUGUGGUUGGUACUAUCUAAAAUAGAUCUUGAGUGUGUGUGACGAUAGUGAUAAGAUGAAGAAAUAUUCUUAAAGGGAUGUAAAGUAUAGGGUCCCGUAGCUUAAGCUAGCACUUCUAUUCUCUUAGACUUAAACAUAGGAGUAUUAUACUGUAGGACUCAAAUUCUUAUGACUAGACGUGUGGUUGGGGAAUUUUAAGUUGUAAGUGUGAAGUAUGCUAUUUAAUGUUUGGUGGGUAUAUGAUUAGUGCCUUUAAGUUUAAGUCUAUUCGUGGUACUCUGUAAGGUUGAGAAUGCUUUAAAUACUAUUUUCUGUGAAAUCUUAUUCAUUAUAAGUUCCAAUAUAAAUCAGGUCUAUAAUUAUCAAAUAAACCCAUAACACAUGUGGUGAUGAUAAUGAUUCUUAGAACUCAUGUCCAAGAUCAUCCCUAUGUGAAGUCCCAUUGCCUCAUAUUUCGUGCUUACACGUUCCUCUAGGGGUUAUCAUGAAGCUCGGUAGAUGCCUUUGCAUAUUUUGUGAUGGAAGAAUGUUCAAUACGAGGUUUCAUUCUUUAUUCUACAUUUUUAUAACUUCAACAAGUCCCUACCCAUCAUUCGGGGAUAAAUGAUCACAAGGGGGAGAUAAUACAACAUUCCGUAUUUUCGAGCUAGAAAGAGAACCAUCGUUCCUACGUGCAUAAGCUCUAAUUCCAUGUUUUUUUAUUUAAAUUCAUGUGUCAUGAUCCUUCUCCGAGUAUAUGAAGUGGUUAUGAGGUGAAAAUGUUCAUAGAAAUGGACUAAAGCAAAGUUGAGCUAAAAACCCUUCAUCCAUCCAAAAUUUGAUAUUCGAUUCUACUAGGGUUAUCUUUUAAUGAUUAUAACUUUUUUAUAUAUAGAAUUUGGUAGAUUAAGACCCACCAAAUUAUAGAUAAUCGAAUUAGCUCUUCAACGAUACCAAUUUUGCCUUAAUCCAACGUCUGAGCGAAAAGUUAUGUCAUUUUUCGUGUGAGGCAGUAAGGGAUCGUGAUAGCCCCGCGCGCGAGAUCUGCUUGACCCAAAUAGGGGUCACGUCAUAAGGGCUACUUAAACCAACUAAGGGUCAUGAUGUGGGGGCUAUUCCCGCACAGUUUUAGCUUCUUAAUGGUCAAGGGUCACUUUGGUCCUUUCCCCUCGACCCCAAACGUCCAUAACACAGAAUUUCAGCCCCAAAACAGUACUUUAGCCCAAAAUUCAUAUUCUCCCCAAAUUGAAAUCAUCCUCUUUUUCCCAAUAUUACAAAAACCCUAACUCCUAAGCUAAGAUCUCAAGAAACGAAUCAAAAUCUGGAUUCCAAGUAUCAAGAUUCAGAUUCCAUCUUUCAAAUCUCGUAAGCUAAGGUACGUAGGGUUUUCAUAAAUCUACAUGGGCAUAAUAAAACUAUUUCAACAGCAUUUAAACAUUGUGAAAUCAUAAAUUCUUGAAGGGGUUUUGGAAUAUACAUUACACUUGUACAUUAUGAACUCUUAAAUGAUACUAUUGCUUUUGUCUUGAGAGUCUUCCCUUAGAAAAUUGAACUCUUACUUAUAUAUAUAUAUAUAUAUAUAUAUAUAUAUAUAUAUAUAUAUAUAUAUAUAUAUAUAUAUAUAUAUACACGCGAUAAAAAGAGAGUUNNNNNNNNNNNNNNNNNNNNNNNNNNNNNNNNNNNNNNNNNNNNNNNNNNNNNNNNNNNNNNNNNNNNNNNNNNNNNAACUCUCAUAUAUAUAUAUAUAUAUAUAUAUAUAUAUAUAUAUAUAUAUAAAUUCAUUCACUUGAUGAAUUUAAAUAUUAAAUUGAGAGCAUCAAUUAUUAGAAAUCCCUCUCUCGUUUAAAGGUUUCUUGUUUUCGUAAGCCAUGAUUAUUUGAAUGUAUUUUGAGAAGCAUGAUUACAAAUGCCUUGAUUAUUGUUUAUGACUUGAUUAUGGUUUUGAUUUGAAGAGGGGGGGGGGGUUUACAUGUUGAUAAAUGCUGAAAGUAUAUAAUGAAAGAAUUGCAUGGUUUUAUCAAAAAUACAUAUCCACCAUAGGUUUGUUAGAAUUAUUGAAAAGAUGAGAAUCUUUGCAUGGUUUUGACUUAUAUUUUGAAAUAUGAAUUCUCUUAUACUUGUCUGAAUGUUUUGGUGGUCUGAACAUUAUUUUAAAUGAACGAAUCUUGCAUGAUACCUUAUGGCUCAAAAUUUUGACUUGUAAGUCUUGGUAUGACGAUACCAAUUCAGAUAAUGCCAUAGUAACACAGAACAAAACAGAGUGUGGAUUUUCUUUUAGAUUUUCAAAUUUUGAACUUAGAAUGAUACAAGUUCAUAAAAGGCUAAAAUAGGCAUAAAAAGAUGUUAGGUGGUUACCUGAAGAAGGCACGAGCUCAGAAAAGUCAUUACCCGAGACUGUGUUUUGCCUAUACGAGAAUAUUAUGUCUCCUAAAGGGAUUAAUUGCUGGCCUAGUGCCCUGUGGUGUAUCAAAAUUAGAAACUCCAACUCUUGCAUUAAACUUGGGUUGGGGGCUUGGUCGUCGAGCUAAGGUCGGACUCCAUAUAGAUCGUGGAGUUGUAGAAUUGUAGGGUGUACCAUCUAAUGCAGAAGUAAUACAAAGAUUAGAACUGUAUUGUCAAAAAAAAUCAUUUUAUGAUCACUGAAACUGCCAAUGUGUUUUUAACUAUUUUAUGCAUGAUAUUUUAGGUUUUCUCUCAUCUAUGUUAUAUAAAUGUAGACACAUUAUUUUGGAUUGCUCUGCGUACCAGUACAUCUGUAUUGGCCUCCUAUAUUUCAAGGUUUGAGGCUCAAUCUAGAGGUCCUGCUAAGCCGUAGAAUUUUUAGACAGAAAAGAAGUGCAUUGUUGGUGAGUCUUCUUUUUUCCGGAAAGCGUAUUUCAUUUUAGUCAUUUAUUAAUUAGUUUGGUUUUGAUCCACUGGGGUCCUUGUCCCAGAUUCAGAUAGUUUAUUGAUGUCGUAUGUAGUAUAUAUUUUGCAGACUGAAAAAGAUGUUGAUGAACUUAUUUUCGUAUUAUUAAACAGAUUUUAGAAUAUGACCAUGAUUUCAUUUAUUUUACUUCCACAUCUUUUUUUUAUUAUUCGAGAUUUGUGCAUGAUGACCAGAGAUAGAAGAGUGAUCGAAUCACUAUGGUUCGAGAUGGUCUUCACGGUUAGGGCCUCAAUUUGGGUUGUGACAAACUUGGUAUCAAAGCAUGGUUCAUGGUCUUAGGGUGUCUGCGAAAUUGCGUCGAGUAGAGUCUUAUUUAUGAGUGUGUAGCGUGCCACACUUAUAAGUAGGAGGCUACAAGUCGUUUAAGAAUGUUUUUUUUUCUUCAUGUUCUAGUUUGUGCAAUGGAGUUAGAAUAUUCCUUUUUCAUAAUUUAGUUUGUGCUAUGGUGUCGUCCAUACGAAUGUAAAGUUAUCCUAAUUCUUUUCUUACUCUAUUGUCCUUAGAUAUGUCUCAUUUUUUAGGUGAUUAAGUACAAAAGCUUAGAAUCCAAAUGAUAUGGUCCUUUUCUGAUUAAGUUAUAAAAGAUUAUAAAAUUGUGCAAGGACUUGAGAAGAGUCCGUUAGUGCUUCAAGGUGUAUUGAUUCUAGUGUAAACUUUGAUUUUGAUGAAAUCGUCCUUUUCAGCCUGAGGUAUUAAGUAUAUUCAGUCCUUUUCAAAAUUUAUGUUGUAAAUGUCAUGCAUAAGGGGAUGGAUAUAUAGUGGAAUGUUGGAACUGUAUUUCCACCUGAGUAGUAGUAUAAGUUAAAGUGUCAUAACCUACUAGUAGUGAGAUAUGACCAAGAAGCUGGUGAUAUGAAGUCACAAGGUUAGAAGUCAGAGUGAGGGUGACUUUUAUGCAUAUAAAUAUUUUUAAUUGUAUAACCAUUGAUUGAGGAAUGAUUUUCCAUUUAAUAGUGAUGGACUAAUGUGGUAGUAAUAUUUGUAGAUUGUAAGGUAUUCGAUAAAAUAAGUGUUUGGCUAUGAUUAUUAUCUAUUCAAGAAUAGAGAAAGAGCCUAGAGUGGAUAGUUAUGGUGGUUAUGGAAAUCCCUUGUCGAUUGUGAAAGGAAAUGGUUAGAUUUUCCAAUAAGUUAUAAGUAUAAACUCAUUGUUGUUUGUGGAAUUUGAAGGUAGUCUAAAUGAAUGUUUGCGCAAGUAAGUAUAAUAUGAGAAAGUAGAAUAUGUAGAUAAGAUUCUAUAGGGUUAUAGUAUAAGAUUAAGGUUGACCAUGCCUAUUGUGUGACCUUACCCCCCUUGACCUUCUUUCCUUUAGUAGUUGUAAACUAGUACUUCUAUUGAGAAGGUAUGUAGUAGAUUUUGAGGUGUAGUAGUAAUGUCAUGGAAGUGAUUUGGUUAUAAGUAGUAUCUAGGGAAAUGGGGUAUAUGGGUAGAAUUUCCAAAUUUGAUGGACUAGCAUAUUAUGUUUCACUCUUCAUUGGUGGUAAAUGAUUGAUACCAGACUAUAGUCUUGAAUUUUAGAUGUAGAAUGUGGUGGUAAGAAUAGUAGCUUAAGAUUAAUGAUGUAUGUUGUGUGGAAAUGAAUUCGUAGGCUUGAUGUAAUGUCUGAAAUGGCCUAGGUUGAUAAUUUAUGAAAAGUUUAAGUGGUAAUUUUGGGGUAUGUGUGUAUAUGAGGACUAGCAUUAAAAUGAUGAAUUGUGGGUGAGUCAUUAAGUAGAUAAUGACGUAAGUAUAUAUGAAUAAGUUGCAUCCCUUGGUAGUAUGGCGUUACUCUUUAGGAAAGAUUUUAUGCUAUGGGAUAUGUGGUUAAUGGUCUAAUGUUAGAAGGUUAAGUAGUAGAGAGUGGAUUUUUAUGUGAUACAGAGUGAGGUUGUGUAUGGUCAUGAGACUAUGUGUUGUAGGUUGAUGACGAUAGAGGAUAGCAAAAAAAAUUAGAGUAGUGUUCUGGAGAAGCAAUGUUAGAGCAUACUUAAAAAGGGAAAGUUUAGCAUUUAUGUGGAUAAGUGUUUUACAUACCUAGUUUGUAUUCUUUAAAUUAUAGUAUGGAGAAGUUUGGUGAGCUGUUGUUCAAUGUUCGUUAGAGUUGAAUUGAGGAAAUAAUGGUAGGCAAUAUGAGCUUUGGGUAUGAUUUUACAAAUUUUAUUAAGGUGUAAGUUAUGUGAUUAGAGGUGUAAUGCGAGUAUUCUGAGGAGUUGAGGCUAGAUAUUAAGUGUUUGGAAAUGUGGGUGUCCAUACCCAUAAUAGUGUUAGUCAUAAGUUGGUGACUUUGGGUGUUAGAGAAAGUUAUGAUUAGUGUUCCUGAGGUUGUCCUAGAAAGAAUUUAGUGUAAUUAUAUUAGAAAUAAAUGAGAGGAGUUGGAUUCAUAUGUAUAUUGGUAUCCCUUUUAUGAUAAGAAGUGUGAAUGCGUAUGCUCAUGGGAGUGAGAGUUGUAGAGUGAGGGCUAUAGAGGUUAGCAAAAGUUAAGAGAUGCAUUUUUUUCGAAAGGCAAGGCCUUCAGAGUAUAGUUCUCCAGGGAUAUUUUAGAGUUUAAGUAUCUGGUGAUGUCUCUUUUAUGUUAAGAGUUGUGGUUAUAGAAUUGGUAAGGGGAUAUGUUUGUAAGUCUAGGAUUGUGACUUUAAUCUAAGGGGGAGAUGGAGAAGCAAGUUAGUUCUCGAAUUUUUCUCAAUGUGGCAAGUUGCGGGAAGGAGUCAUAAUGAACCUAAUUCUACACAAGCAUAAUCCUCCUACUUCAAUUUAGGAGAGUAUCCUGCUAAUGUCUUACGUUAUUUAUUCAUGUCUUGCCUAUGCCUAAAGUUUGAACUCUCUAUGUAACUCAUGUCAUGUUCCGACCUCCAAACAAGAAGCAAUAAUGUCCCUCAGUGAUCCAAAAUUUUGAGUAUCCAAGCCAUAUGUUAUGUUGUUCGUGAUCCGUGAAAAUCUAUGUCUCUCAGCAUGUUUGGCCCUAAGAAAAUAUGUUUCUACAUGUUGCGGAAUCAUCUUAUGCCAGAAUUACCCAAAGUGAUAAAGUUUAUGCUAACUCGUGGAAAAAUUUUAGCUCUUUGAAUGAGAAGCAAUCACUUUAAGUGAAAUCCUUGUCUUAGUUGUUAAUGACAUAAAUUACGGCGUUAUGCCAUAUAGGUCAUGAAAUAUGCAUUUCAUAUUUCUCAUUUUGGUCGGUCCUAAGGAAAUCAUGUUGUGUUGUGUUCGUGUCGAAUGACUUUUUACUUAUGAUCCGAAUGGUUGAUAUCUGAAGCAUUCCGUGUCUAUUCUAUCGUAUCUUCAAUUUAUGUCCCUCCUCAAGUAGUGCAAUAAGUAUGAGUGAUUGUAUGAUAAUGUUACUUCCAUUCAUGAUGUUUAUGCUCGGAUCCUUUAAUGACCCUCUUUAUGUUUGUAUGAUGGUGGUUGUGGAAGUGUAGUAGUGUGUUAGGUAUGGAAAUAAAUGUUCUUGAAGGUGAAAAAUUUGAUGUGAUUCUCGAGCUAAGGUUGUGGGUGAAAGAGAAAAAAAGGAGAUGAACUUUUGUUGUGCGAAAUAGCUUAGAAGGAGAAAUGUGGUGACAACCUUUGUGAAUGUGAUCAAAUUUGCUGGUCUUAGUGGGGGAAAUCCAUGUAGUGGGUGUAGUAAUGAUUAGGCUUGAAUAUUUUGAUUGCUGAAAAUGCAAACCUACUAUGUGGUUUAUACUAUCUAAAAUAGAUCUUGUGUGUGUGUGACGGUAGUGAUAAGAUGAAGAAAUAUUCUUAAAGGGAUGUAAAGUACAAGACCCCGUAGCUUAAGCUAGUACUUCUAUUCUCUGAGUUAGUUUUAAACAUAUAAGUAUUAUACAGUGGGACUCAAAUUCUUGUGGCUAGACACGUGAUUGGGGAAUUGUAAGUUGCGAGUGUGAAGUAUGCUAUUUAAUGUUUGGGGUAUAGAUGGUUAGUGCCUUUAAGUUUAAGUCUAUUCGUAGUACUCUGUAAGGUAGAGAAUGCUUCUAAUUCUAUUUUUCGCGAAAUCUUAUUCAUGAUUAGUACCAAUAUAAAUCAGGUCUAUGAUCAUCAAAUAAACCCCUAACAUAUGUGGUGAUGAUAAUGAUUCAUAGAGCUCAUGUGCAAGAUCAUCCAUAUGUAAAGUCUCAUUGCCUCAUGUUUCAUGCUUACACGUUUCUCUAGGGGUUAUCAUGAAGCUCGGUAGAUUCCUUUGCAUAUUUUAUUAAGGAAGAAUGUUCAAUACGAGGUUUCGUUCUUUAUUCUACACUUUUAUAAGUUUAACACCUCCCUACUCAUCAUUCGGGGACGAAUGAUCCCAAGGGGGAGAUAAUGUAACACCCCGCAUUUUCGAGCUAGAAAACGAACCGUCAUUCCUACGUGAGUAAGCUCUAGUUCUAUAGUUUUUAUUUAAAUUCAUGUAUCAUGAUCCUUCUCCUAGUGUAUGAAGUGGUUAUGAGGUGAAAAAUGUUCAUAGAAAUAACCUAAAGCAAUGUUGAGCUAACAACCCUUCAUCUAUCCAAAAUUUAAUAUUCGAUUCUAUAAGGGUUAUAUUUGAACAAGUAUAACUUUUUGUAUAUAUAAGAUUUGACAGAUUAAGACCCACCAAAUUUUAGAUAAUCAAAUUAGCUUUCCAACUAUACCAAUUUCGUUUUAAUCCAACACCUGAGAGAAAAGUUAUGCCAUUUUUUGUGUAAGACAGUAAGGGAUCACGAUAGCCCCGCUACGCGAGGUAUGCUUGACCCAAAUAGGGGUCGUGUUGUGAGGGAUACUUAACCCAACUAGGGGCCGCGACGCGGGGGCUAUUUCUGUACAGUUUUAGCUUCUUAAGUGUCAAGGGUCACUUUGGUCCUUUCCCCUCGACCCCAAACAUCCAUAACACAGAAUUUCAACCCCAAAAGAGCACUUUAGCCCCAAAUUCAUAUUCUCCCCAAAUUGAAAUCAUCCUCCUUUUCUCAAGAACACAAAAACCCUAACUCCUAAGCCAAGAUCUCAAGAAACGGAUCAAAAUCCGGGUUCCAAGUAUCAAGAUUUGGAUUCCAACUUUUAAAUCUCAUAAUCUAAGGUACGUAAGGUUUUUCUAAAUCUACAUGGGCAUAAGAAAAUCGUUUCAACAAUAUUUAAACAUUGUGAAAUCAUGAAUUCUUAAAGGGGUUUUGGAAUUUACAUUACAAUUGUGCAUUAUGAACUCUUAAAUGCUAUUAUUGCUUUGGUCUUGAGGCCUUCCUCUAGAAAAUUGAACUCUAACUUUUAUAUAUAUCUAUAUCUAUAUAUAUAUAUAUAUAUAUAUAUAUAUGCAUGCACUUGAUGAAUUUAAAUAUUGAAUUGAGAGCAUCACUUUUUGGAAAUCCCUCUCCCGUUUAAAGAUUUCUUGUUUUCGUAAGCCAUGAUUAUUUGAAUGUAUUUUGAGAAGCAUGAGUACAAAUGUCUUGAUUAUUGUUUAUGACUUGAUUAUGGUUUUGAUUUGAAGAGAGGGGGUUUUAUAUGUUGAUAAAUGCUGAAAGUAUAUAAUGAAAGAAUUGCAUAGUUUUGUCAAAAAUACAUGACCACCACAGGUUUGUUGGAAUUGUUGAAAAGAUGAGAAUCUUUGCAUGGUUUUGACUUAUGUUUUGAAAUAUGAAUUCUCUUAUACUUUUCUGAAUGUUUUGGUGGUCUGAAUAUUGUAUUAAAUGAAAGAAUCUUGCAUGAUACCUUAUGGCUCAAAAUUUUGACUUGCAAGUCUUGGUAUGACGAUACCAAUUCAGAUAAUGCCAUAGUAACACAGAACAAAACAUAGUGUGGAUUUUCUUUCAGAUUUUCAAAUUUUGAACUUAGAAUGAUACAAGUUUAGAAAAGGCUAAAAAUGGGCAUAAAAAGAUGUUAGGUGGUUACUCGAAGAAGGCACGAGUUCAGAAAACUCAUUGCCCAAAAUCUUGUUUUGCCGAUACGGGAUUAUUAUGUCCCCUAGAGGGAUUAUACACUGGCCUAAUGCCCUGUGGCGUAUCAGAAUCAGAAACUCCAACUCUUGCGGCAAACUUGGGUUGGGGGCUUGGCCGCUGAGUUAAGGGCAGACUCCAUAUAGCCUGUGAGGUUGUAGAAUUGUAGGGUGUACCACCUAACUCGGAAGUAAUAUAAAGAUUAGAACUGUAAUGUCAAAAAAAUCAUUUUAUGAUCACUAAAACUGCCCAUGUGUUUUUAACUAUUUCAUGUAUGAUAUUUCAGACUUGCUCUCAUUUAUGUUAUAUAUAUAUGUAAACACAUUAUUUUGGAUUGCUCUGUGUACCAGUAUAUCUGUAUUGACCCCCUAUAUUUCAGAGUCUGAGGCUCAGUCUAGAGGUCCUGCUAAGCCGUAGAAUUUUCAGACAGAAGAGAAGUGUGCUGUUGGUGAGCCUUCUUUAUUUCGGAAGGCCUAUUUCAUUUCAGUCAUUUGUUAAUUAGUAUGGUUUUGGUCCACUGGGGGCCUUGUCCCAGAUUCAAAUAGUUUAUUAAUGUCGUAUGUAGUAGAGAUUUCACAGACUGAAAAAGAUGUUGUCUAGAUAUUGAUGAACUUAUUUCCGUAUUGAAUAACAGAUUUCAGAAUAUGCCCAUGAUUCCGUUUAUUUUACUUCCGCAUCUUUUCUUUAUUAUUUGAGUUUUGUGCAUGAUGACUAGAGGUAGAAGAGUGUCCGAAUCACUAUGGUUUGGAAUGCUCGUCACGGCUAGGGCCCCGAUUCGGGUCGUGACAGUAGAUUUUAAGUUGGGUUGAAUAUUUAGACAUUAUUAUUUAUUUAUUUUAAUUAUAUUUAAACUUACAAUUGCAAAGAAGAUCUCGUUAAAUUAAAUCGAAUCAAACUGUAUAUAGGCCUCUAAUUAUAUUUAUUAGAUUGAUUAAAAUAUUAUUUCAACAAUGAGUUACGAGUCAAAUAAUAAUUUUUGAAGCACUUGUUCGUGGUGAAACUUGAGUGAACUUUUUUUAAAAUUCAUUUUAAGUAAUCAAUCAAAUUUACUUUUAUAUAAUCUAACUCUAAAUAAAUUAUAUUUGAAACUUACAAGUUAGAACAUAUAAAAUUAAAUCAAAUAAACAAUCAAUAUAUAAAUACAUAAAAUUGAUAAAAUAUUGUCUCAAUCAAUUAAAUUUGAGUUAACAAUAAUUAUCAAAAUACUUGUCAAAAUAAGUUUAAGGAAAACUUAGUGCAAUUUUGUACUUUAAAUUUGAUAUAAUUACUUAAUAAAAUUAAGGUUAGAUAUAACCACCUUGUACUGAAAUCAAAUUUAAAACAUACAAAUAUGUCAAUAAAAUUGAAUCAAAUUGGACGAUAAACAUUUAUAGUUAUACUAAAAUGUAUUUGUAUUGUUCUUAUAGAAUAUAUUCGAGUCAAAUGACAAUUCUCGAAGCACCUUAUCUAGGCGAAGCUUGAGUUUGAAUUAAUGAGCUUGAUUUUAUUAAAUCAAAUAUGAUUAAUUAAUCAAAGUUAAUUAUACAUAACAUAAUUUCUAUCUAUUUAUUAUAUUUGAAACUUACAAUUAGUACCUUGUAAAAUUGAAUCCAAUAACAAGAUAAAUAACUUCGAUUAAACUAACUUGAUAAAGGUAUUGUUCAAUAGGAAAGGUCAGAGUCGCCAAGUGACAUAAAAUAAUUAUUUCUCAUAUGGUGUAUUGUAUCAUAAUGUUUGUCUGUUUAAUUUACUUUAUGCAUCUGUUUUAUGAAUUAAUCUAUUUAGAUACUAUUUAAUUUAUGAGUAUUUACUUCUAUGAUGCCUUGUAAGAAAAUCAAAUUAUAAAAAAUUAUCACAACUUAAUUACUGUAUUGAUAUUAUUAUUAAUUUUAUAACAACUUUAAUUGUAUGAAAAAUAGUUAUUUAAAAUGACUAAAAGAUUUCAAUUGCUAUAACAGAUUUCAACUCAUGAUAAAAUCUAAUACAAUUAUGAAUUUUAUCGCAAUAACAACUUCAUGGUUAUAUAAGCAUUUCAUCAUGAUAAAUAAUUGUAGUUAGUAAGUCAACUAUUGUCACUCUUUUUAUAACUUGAAGUAAAAAUAUUUAUUUAGUUUUAAAUUAUUUAGUUGUAGCUAAAAGAUCACUGUUGCUACGAUAAAAUUUAAUUUGUGAUAAAAAAUAGUAAUUAGCUACCAAAUUUUAUUAUAUCCAAAUAUUUGUGGUAAUAUGAUUAAUUAUUGCCAAAAUUAUUUUAUAACCUGCAGAAAAAAAAUAAAUUUUAGCUACAAUAUUUUGUUUCAAAUAAUUUAUUGUGACUAAAAGGUUACUAUCGCUACAGUAACUUAUAUCAUGUGGCAAAAACUUAUGAUCAGCUAUAAAAUUUUAUUGUAACUAUAAAGUUGUAGCUAUUUAGGUAAUUAUUGCCAUGAUAGUUAGCAAUUAUAGCAAAAAUAAGGAAUUAACUUUUUCAAUUUAAUUUUCAUGGCUAUGAAAUUUUAUAAAUUUAUAGAUAGCUACGAAAUUUUUAAUUUCAUGGCUGUUACUAGGUAACAACUACAAAUUUUGAAUUCAUGGCUUAGAUUUCGUAACUACAGAUACAAUUUGUUGUAGUUUUCAUGCAAAUUAAGAUUUCACUAUUAAAAUGCAUGAUAACACCAAUAAAAAGUCUUUGGAAGAGGUUAUUAGACAGGACAUGACUCAAAUGCAGCUUAUCAAGGAUAUGACCAUUGAUAGAAAGAUAUGGAGAUUGAGAAUUAUAGUAGAAUGUUAGUAGGUGGUUGUCCAUCGUCUACAUUCCUUACAAGUUUUGUCAUUAUUAUCUCCUACUACUAUUGUAUUUCACUAUCUUAGUAUUAUUUGUUGUUUCCUUUGCUUUGAUUAGCAAAUUAUUUGUUGUCAAUGCUACUCUCUUCUUUAGAAUCUUCGAUCUGCAUUUGCUUUACGUAAUUGAUUAUUUUUUAUAUGUUUUACUCGAGCAGAAUGUUCAUAAGAUAGUAAGAUUGUGUACACCACCCUCCUCAAGCUCCAUUUAUGAAAUUACAGUAAAUUUAUUUUUAUUGUUCUAUAUUAAUCUAUUAACAUACUUGACUUAGAAAAUAUAUGACACAAUCUCUUCUUCCUUCCCCAAUGGUCCCCCACCAUUAUUACAAAUUGGUCGCAUUUCCCCGCUGAAAGCUUCGAUCUCACCUUGAAAAAAAACACUAUAAUUUUCUGUUAUCGAACUCCCCAAAAUUAUGCUUCUAGGUAUAUUCGAGGCAAAUAAUAAGAUUCUAGGCUGGAAUCUUGAAAAAAGACAACCUAUAUUUUGAUUCAAAAUCAAAGUUUCAUGUGAGGUAUUCCUUUCUAAAAUUUUCUUUUUUUUGGUUAAAAUUUUUGGUAUUUUAUUUAUGUCUCAAACAAUUACAAGAUCAAAUGGCCCACCAAACAUCACAAAGCAAAAAGAAGAUCCAACAGCCCAAUCUGUCUAGUCCAAAUCUCACAUCCUUUAUUACAUAUAAAAAUAAAUAGGGAUUCCUAACUCCUUUCUUUCCCAAUCCCUCUCACACCUGCACGAUGUUUCCGCACACCUCAGUUCCUAGUUGGUACUUCUGCUCCUUUGGGUUAUCAUAUUUUGCCCGAAGAUUCUUCGUUGUCCUUUAUAUCAGCUUUCAAGAGUAAGAUUCCCAUCCUUUUGCUCAUGUUUCCAAGUAAUUCCUUGUACUGACCUUGUCUUGUUUCAGUUGUGUUUUGUGAUAGAUGGAUAUGGUAUCUUCUUUUUACUGAGGGUGCUCGUUUAAUAUUGCAAGGAUUCAUCACUAGGUAAGUAACUAUACGACUCACUCUUUGAUUGCCCUGUGAAACACUGUAUGCUUUAGCCUUCCCCUCCCUUUCAUCCUUUGGUUGAUAAAAUUCUUAAGUAGGGGCUUCUUAAUUUAUCACUUUUUAUGAUUUUUCUUCCUUCCACUUCCAUGCUCUUAAAACUUUGAUAUCUGCAAUUAUCCCUGUUUAUGGCAUGAUUUGCUAGAUAAUCCGCUAACUUGUUACCUUUUCGAUAGAUAUAUUGUAUGGCUGUCUGCUUUCCUUGUAUGUUUACUGUAAUUUCUGCAAUGAUAGCUGUGAUGCUCCAUGGACAUGACCACUCCCCUAUUAAAAGUUUCUAAAGUAAUAAGAAGUCAGUCUGUAAAAUCACCUUGUCAUAACUUGAUUGCUUGCAAUGUAUACUAGCUUUCAACAUUGCUGUAGGUUAUACCACUGUAUUUGUUGUUUCCUCCAUUCUGGAUGCCUCAAAAAAUAUUAAAUCACGUUCCUCGUUCUUUAAACAAAAUGCAUAAGAACUAACUCCUGGAUUUCCCUUUGAAGCACCAUCAGUAUUGUACUUAACCCAUCCCUGAUUUGGAAACUCCCACAAAACCUUUGUAACUUCAAUUCCAGCUUUUAUUCUCUCCAAAUCCUUCAAUAUAUCCGACCAUCCUCUCUUAAAAAUUCUUCCAGGCUUUCUAAUUUUCAGCAACUUAUGCAUUGUUCUAAUCACAUUAUGAAUAACUGUCUGCACAGAAAUAUUCUUUUCUUCAUGCUUACUUAUAUUCCUUCUAUUCCAUAAUUCUCAUACUAUAAUACUAGGCAUAGUUUUAUCGUCUGCUUUGAUUCCUUUCGCCAUAUCUGCUUCUCACCAUAACAUGACAACCAAGAGAGACCUUCAAUAUUAAAACCUGCAAAGGAACAAAAUAGUACCAAGUCCUGUUAGCAGUACCACUCCUUAAGAAAAUAUAUGCCAUUGUCUCCUGGUGAGGAUUAACACAACACUAUCACUUUGAGGGACCUUGCAUACCACACUUCCUGAUUCUGUCAUCCACCGAGAUAUAAAAUUUCCACAUUCUCCACAUUAGAAAAAUCAUUUUGAAAGGUAAGCCUUUCACCCACAUUCGCUUAUAAAUUUUAUUAGGCUCCUCUUCGUGUCUUGUUGACACCCAAUUUUGACUUUUCAUACUUAAAAUUAACGCAUUUUGGCUUCCUGAUCGUUAAAUGACACAAACGACAAUUUUUCACAUAUUUUUUGCAAUUAUUAAUAAAUUCUUGAUAAUCAUCAUUAUUUUAGGAUUUUUUACUAAUUUAUUGUCAUAUUUUAAUUUUACAUAAUUUAUUGAUAAUUAUCUUUAAUUUCGCAAAUUUUAGAAUUUUUAUCAAUUUAUUAUUAUUUUAAUAUUUUUGCACAGUCAUUUACAUACGUACACAAUAUAACACUGUAUUUUUUUACUGUACAGUAUAAUUUAAAAUAUUUAUAGCAUAAUUUUUUUUAAAAAAAUACUUAUAUUUUUUAUUUGUUAUUUAUAUUUUUUUGUAAUUAUACAUCGGCAUUCAUACUUUUUGUAUAUUAUUUAAUACGACUUACAAAUGUGAGUUAAUUUAAUUAUUUUAAUACACAAAGCAAUAAAUUGAUCAAAUUAAAUCUUAACACUUUUUUUUUUUGACUUUGCUUCUCACCAACUAUCCCUAAUUUAAGGAUUUUGUUGAAAAAAAGGGUAGAUGUGAUUAAAUUUUCUUUUUUCAUGUUUUUCCCUUUUAAAUACACUACACACACAAUCCACAAAGACACACAUAAAAAUCUGCUUCUUUCUCUCUCUUCUUUCUCCUCUCUCUAAAAAAUACUCCACCUAACACUCCACCCACUCCCCAAUUCACUCACCUACCACAAUUUAACAAAUAAUAAUACAACAUACACAAACGGGGCUCCAUCUUUUUCCAUUUUUCUCACACAAUAACAACAAAGACUCCACUAAAAAUACACAGACAGAUAACAUAUGGACACACACAUAUUUCUUCUUUCUUCUCUUCAUCUGUCUUAAAACAAUGCCGCCGCCACUCCAACAUAACUCCCACCAUUUUCAACACUUCCGCCACCCACAACAUCGCCGGCGCCGCCCUUUUCCUUCCCCUAACGUUAGCGCCAGAUCUGUCCGGAAUGAUUUUCUCUGAUAACUUUUUAUUUUUCUCCGGUAACUUUACUAUUUGUUCUUGACAUAUUAAAAAUUCAAAUGUUUGUUAGUAAUGGUAAGGCUUAGAUUUUUUCUUUUCUUUGUGCUACUUGAUGAUUUUUGCAGUUCGUCAUUGUUAUACAUAUUUGUGUUUAUAUGUUGUCUCUUAAACAAUUUUAUUGAUCAGUUUGAUCAAGGUUUUUAGCAAAUUUCAUUAAUGUUGCAAUUUUAUUGUGUUUACUAUUCUUUAUAACAUUUUUAUUGAUGUUACUUUAAUUGUUCUUUGUUAUUUUAUGAUGUUGCUAUUUUAAUACUUAUUAUUAUGAGUUUCUAUUAUUAUCUAUGUUACAACUUAUUCUAUGUUACUAUCCUAAGGGGCCGUUUGGUUUGCAAAUAAUUUUGGGAUAAAAUAAUAAUUUCGAGAUAAAAUUUUUAAUUUUGGGAUAAAAUAAUAAUUUCGGGAUAAAAUUUUUUAUCCGUCGUUUGAUUGUAAAUAUUUGGGAUAACUUAUGUCGGGACUAAUAAUUAAUCCUGAGAUAAGUUAUCCAUCCAAAUGGUAGGAUAACAAUCCUGGGGUUAUUUUUCUUUGGUAUAAAAUUAUACAAGGACAAAAAUACCCUCUUGGGAUUGUUAUAUAUAAUCAAACAUAAUUAAUAUAAUUUAACAUAAUAUAUUAUAAUUAAAUAUAUUAACAUAAUAUAUAUAUAAUUAAACAUAAUUAACGUAUNNNNNNNNNNNNNNNNNNNNNNNNNNNNNNNNNNNNNNNNNNNNNNNNNNNNNNNNNNNNNNNNNNNNNNNNNNNNNNNNNNNNNNNNNNNNNNNNNNNNNNNNNGGAAUAGUCCAUUUAUUUAGAAGAUCUAUAUCUUGAGGCAAAUCUACCUUAUAUUCAUAAAUAAUAAAUUAUGUUUAAUUAGCGUAUAAUAUAUUUAUUAAUUAUGAAUAUAAUAUAUUACGUGAUAUAUAAUGUAAUUACAUAAUAUAUAACGAACAAUAUUAUGACUAUAUUUCAGGAUCUCUUAAUAAGCUGGGGCUAAAAACCGGCUAAAAACCACUCAGCCUACCAGACCAAGCAAUAAUAUCGGAUUAAGCUAAAGUCGGAAAAUCGAACCGAAGCACCAACCGAAAUAACAAAGAAAUUUCGAAGUUUCUGACUGUAUGGUAAAUCUUUCACCCGAACAAGGGGCCUGUCAGAGAUCAAACAAUUUUUGUUAGCCCAUGUGUCCAGUUGUUCUAAUUGUGCAAAAAUCGCCCUUUCUUUCCAUCAGUACGGGCUUCAAAGGCACAACUCACUAGACGGAGUCACAGAGACAGAGCUAUCGUAAAACUGUUGAUCUCGACUGUACCUCCAUUUCGGAACCAAGUCGGGAAACCAUAAAAUUUCUUGUAUUAUCUAAGUAGAGUCUGGAUCUUUCAUAGUUCGUAUACUUCGAGAGGUUAGAACUGUUGUAUGAACAUAAAAAAGGAGUCUAGCCGGACAUAGUCACGGCGUAGAUCUGGGAGAAUUAAAGAAGACAACAAAGUAAAAAGUAAAAAUUAAAUAUGUAUGUACCUUGCCGGAGAGUCGCCGGAAUAAUAUUCACAAAGCCAACUUUUAUUGCUUUACUAAGAUUAUUACAAGAGAGAAUAAAAGAGAAUUUCUAAAAACUCCUUGUUCUUUCUCUUCUUUAGAAUGAGGCUCCUUUUAUAGAAGAGAAAAGGAAUCUUACACAGUAAUAUGUGGGACCUGUGCACAGUGUUUUACCACAGUAUUUUGGAACAGUAUUAGCAAUAAUUAUUACAUAUUCAGAAUUAUUUUUGGUGGCCCCAUCGUAGAAAUUCUUCUGCGUUGGCUAAUACUUCGUCUGCAUUCAGGGUUUCUGGUGGCUGGGAAUCCGCGAUAUCAUCAGUGUUUCGCUCCGUGCUAUUCAUAGAUGUGUCCGAAGUUUGUUCGACCGUAUGAAGUAAUUUGUCUCGGACUUCGGCCAGAUAUUCUUCAAUGAGUUGGAGCUUAUUUCCAUCAUGAGCAGAGAUUCUCCGAGAGACAUAAUUGAGUGAUUUAUCUUCAAUUAAAAUAGAAUUUUUGGGUGUUCUUUCAUAUGCGGAGAUUUUGUCCUUGAUUUCUUCCUUUUGGUCAUGUCCAUAGGGAAGUUUGGUGUCGGGGUCUAUUCUGAGCAGUUUAUCCCAGAAAUUACAAUAAAAAGUCCGAUAAAUAGCUGGGAUCUGUUGUGAAUCGUAACCAAUUUCAAUCGACCAACGAUGUAUCCAAGGAAUAGAGAAUUCGAUAUAAAAGUACAUUUGAUCGAUAGUGUCUAAUUUGCAGAUAUGGUCAGAGAGAUAUAAUUCGGUCAGAAAUGGAGAGGAUUUUUUCCAUGAGUUAUAUAAGGAAGUAUAUUCUGCUGGCAAAAUUUUUACCGAUGGGCCGUGAUUUGUCCACCAACGAACGAACCAAUUUGGAAUAGGUUUCUCAAAAACUUUGGGACAGAUUUUGAUGAACCANNNNNNNNNNNNNNNNNNNNNNNNNNNNNNNNNNNNNNNNNNNNNNNNNNNNNNNNNNNNNNNNNNNNNNNNNNNNNNNNNNNNNNNNNNNNNNNNNNNNNNNNNNNNNNNNNNNNNNNNNNNNNNNNNNNNNNNNNNNNNNNNNNNNNNNNNNNNNNNNNNNNNNNNNNNNNNNNNNNNNNNNNNNNNNNNNNNNNNNNNNNNNNNNNNNNNNNNNNNNNNNNNNNNNNNNNNNNNNNNNNNNNNNNNNNNNNNNNNNNNNNNNNNNNNNNNNNNNNNNNNNNNNNNNNNNNNNNNNNNNNNNNNNNNNNNNNNNNNNNNNNNNNNNNNNNNNNNNNNNNNNNNNNNNNNNNNNNNNNNNNNNNNNNNNNNNNNNNNNNNNNNNNNNNNNNNNNNNNNNNNNNNNNNNNNNNNNNNNNNNNNNNNNNNNNNNNNNNNNNNNNNNNNNNNNNNNNNNNNNNNNNNNNNNNNNNNNNNNNNNNNNNNNNNNNNNNNNNNNNNNNNNNNNNNNNNNNNNNNNNNNNNNNNNNNNNNNNNNNNNNNNNNNNNNNNNNNNNNNNNNNNNNNNNNNNNNNNNNNNNNNNNNNNNNNNNNNNNNNNNNNNNNNNNNNNNNNNNNNNNNNNNNNNNNNNNNNNNNNNNNNNNNNNNNNNNNNNNNNNNNNNNNNNNNNNNNNNNNNNNNNNNNNNNNNNNNNNNNNNNNNNNNNNNNUGAUCAGAUAAAUAGGACUUAAUCUGCUGGAAUAAAGGAUGAGUUUCAGGAAUAUCAUCAAGAUUAAUAUUCGGAGUUUGCGAUUGUGAGGACGAUGCCUCCUGAGAGAUUCGGGUAUUAACCAAAGUUCGAUUCCCAUGUUGGAUUACAGGGAAAUUAGAACUUGUUGUGCUAUAAGCAGAGUUUCUGGUACUUCGUGGAUAAGAAGGAUUCGUUCGUCCUCCAUGGUGCAAAUAUGCAGGAUUUUGAUUUCUACCUCGACCUCUUCCUCUGGCUAUUUGCCAAGGGGGAUCAGCCAUACUGCAAAGAAGCAUCAUUAUUUAGUCUUUUAUAUCAAUAUCAUACCAGUCAUUGUCAGUAUUCUCUGGGGUGGUAUACCACCAUAAUUCAUUAUGUAUUAGUUGGAACCACCAUAGGUCAUUCAAAACAAGCUUAUGAAUGAGAGUUUCUAAUAUCAAUUUCUGAAUAUCUUUAGGUAAAGGAAUACUUUGAAGAAUUGCAAGAAUUGUUUUUUCAGAGAGAAAACGGGUAUAGAAAGUCAUAUUAAAUAUUCGCGUGAUAAAAAAUCAGGUAAUGAAUUUUCACUACCCUUUUUAUACUGAAUUUCGUAAUC
This 36313-nucleotide long non-coding RNA is filed under the name Capsicum annuum. RNAcentral's name for it is "long non-coding RNA (CANN_LNC008101)". Lineage: Eukaryota; Viridiplantae; Streptophyta; Magnoliopsida; Solanales; Solanaceae. The record is from RNAcentral.